RNAcentral lists this ribosomal RNA (385 nucleotides) under Catenomyces sp. RNAcentral describes it as "partial small subunit ribosomal RNA". It matches the Rfam family "Eukaryotic small subunit ribosomal RNA", at positions 587 to 975 of the family's 1831-position model. Lineage: Eukaryota; Fungi; Blastocladiomycota; Blastocladiomycetes; Blastocladiales; Catenariaceae. The record is from RNAcentral.
AGCUCCAAUAGUAUAUAUUAGUGUUGUUGCAGUUAAAACGCUCGUAGUUGGAUUUUGGGGCGCUUUGUGUGGUCCGCUUAACGGUGUGCACUGCAGGGAGUGUCCUUCCUUCUGAAGACGGGACAUGUCUUUUAUUGGAUGUGUCUUUUGGAUUCAGGAACUUUACUUUGAAUAAAUAAGAGUGUUCAAAGCAGGCUUUUACGCUUGAAUACAUUAGCAUGGAAUAAUAGAAUAGGACUUUGGUUCUAUUUUGUUGGUUUCUAGGACCGAGGUAAUGAUUAAUAGGGAUAGUUGGGGGCAUUAGUAUUUAAUUGUCAGAGGUGAAAUUCUUGGAUUUAUGAAAGACUAACUUCUGCGAAAGCAUUUGCCAAGGAUGUUUUCAUUA